This 317-nucleotide unclassified non-coding RNA is filed under the name Hevea brasiliensis (rubber tree). The record is from RNAcentral. Lineage: Eukaryota; Viridiplantae; Streptophyta; Magnoliopsida; Malpighiales; Euphorbiaceae.
ACUACUGCCACUGUAAUUUCACUAAUUCAUAAUAUGUCUCCUCCCAAGAAAGCUUCUUAACAUUUUCCUGUAACAUCAAAAUUACUUGCUAUGUCAAGGGUAACAGGGCAAUAUCCUAUACUCACUUUAUUGUUUCAAAUUGCCUUACAUUGUUUAGUGCAUUGGAAAAUUUAUCAAUUAGUGAAAUAGGAGUUUGGUUUCCCUGAUAGUUAGAUGAGACUAUUAUCUUAGAAUCAUGAAGUGAUUAGUAAUUUGAAUUUUUAGUUGUGUCAUCCUGAGAAUGGACAAAACAUUGAAUGGCUAAAAUGGUGAUUUUU